CUUUUAUUUUUGUCACAUCCUCAGGUGCUCCACCCCCAUCCCAACAAUUUCAAGGGCGAGCCUACCGAGCUAUGUACGACUACACUGCUGCCGAUUCUGACGAGGUUUCAUUUAUGGAUGGAGAUAUAAUUAUCAACUGUACACCCGUUGAUGAAGGUUGGAUGACAGGCACGGUGCAACGCACGGGACAGAUUGGAAUGCUCCCUGCAAACUACGUUGAACCCGUGAACUGAUGGAAUUUCUUUAUAACUUCAAAAAAUGUUAUAUUUUGUAUAAUGAUGAUAAGAUUAAAGGUUUUUAAGAGAGAUCUCAAAAGUUUGCCCUUAAUGAUGUGGUUCUAUAACAAGAUAAAAAUUAAGUUUUAUUUUAUUUUUAUGAUUAUAAGAGCUGGAUAAAAUACUGUGACUUAAUAUGAAAUCAUAUAAUAGUUUAAAAAAAAGUCAGAGUUUCAAUAAGAUUUGUUGUCUAAAAAUAAACCUAACUUUCUCUUCAUUCUAUCCAAAAGUAUUUAGUGUAAAAAUCUACAAAAUGUUUAUUAUUUCAUUCCUCUUGGGUCUUAAACUUUCCAGUUAAAUGAUACAUUGAGGUUAUCCAUGUUUGUAUAAAUAUGUUAAAAAAAAUUAAUAAUAAUUAUCAGAUAUAUUCCAUAUUUGCUUCUGAAUAGAUAAGAUUUAUAUUUUACAAAAUAUUCUAUGUUUCUAUAUAGUUAAUAACUCACAAUAAAUGUCUUUUAUGUAACAUUAUAUAAUCAGUUUUAUUCUCUAGGUAACAGUUUACAUUUGUUUACGGUAGGAUUUAGAGUUUAGAUUGUAAUUUAUUUCUAAAGAAAAAUAUAUGUUUUUAUUUUUGAGGUAAUUUUGGUUUGAUUUUUAUCAUAAAUAUUAAUCUUUUAUUGAUUAUGUCCUGGAUUGUAAUUUUAAGAUUUUUUUUUUUUCCUUAAGGAUUAGCGUUAUUAAUUAAAACUAUAUAUUGAUACGAGUGGUAUUCUUGAGUUUUUUUAUGCAUCAUGAUAUUUCACGAUGAACCUGUUUUCUAGUACUGACGUGGCAUGCCGAGAGAAAUGUUAUCUUUAUAUAUAUAUAUUUCAUGAAAAUAAAGUAUGUACGUUAAAUUUCUAAUUGUAUUUUUACCACAUUUAUGCAAAAAAUAUUCAAGUGAUAAGCUGUUUUGUGAUCUUUUGCUAUGCACCUGUUCUAUGCCACUAAAGCUUCUAUCAAAAUGAUAUAUAUAUAUGCUCAAGGAAAUUGUUCCAGUAUUUCUUGUGUUGAUAUACUUAAUACAGUUUGAAUUUAAUAUAUGUGUACGUUUUAUUUUGUGUUAGCACGUCUUUGUUUAGUUAUGCUGAAUUUAAGAUCAUAUAACUGAUAACUUUUGUUAUUUAGUCUGAGCCAUUUGUAAGUCAAUUUUAUUUGAAGUUAAAAUAAAUAGUUAAAUUUUGA
Long non-coding RNA from Limulus polyphemus (Atlantic horseshoe crab), 1439 nucleotides. RefSeq lists it as uncharacterized. The record is from RefSeq and is a predicted model, not a curated record. NCBI's taxonomy places the organism in Eukaryota, Metazoa, Arthropoda, Merostomata, Xiphosura, Limulidae. The transcript has 2 exons.